Molecule: small nuclear RNA, 106 nt
Organism: Ictidomys tridecemlineatus (thirteen-lined ground squirrel)
Lineage: Eukaryota; Metazoa; Chordata; Mammalia; Rodentia; Sciuridae
Source: Ensembl
GUGCUAACUUGGACGGUACAUAUACUAAAACUAGAAUGAUACAGAGAAGAUUAGCAUGGCCCCUGCAUAAGAUGACAUACAAAUUCAUGAAGCAUUCCAUAUUUUU